Molecule: ribosomal RNA, 465 nt
Filed under: uncultured bacterium
Lineage: Bacteria
Description: partial 16S ribosomal RNA
Rfam family: Bacterial small subunit ribosomal RNA
Source: RNAcentral
CCUACGGGUGGCUGCAGUGGGGAAUAUUGCACAAUGGGCGAAAGCCUGACGCAGCGACGCCGCGUGAGUGAUGAAGUUCUUCGGAUCGUAAACCUCUGUCAGCAGGGAAGAACAUUCACUGAGCUGAUCAGCAGUCAAUGGAUGGUUCCUUCCCAGCAACCACCGUCUAACUACGUGCCAGCAGCCGCGGCAAUAAGGAGGGUGCUAGCGUUAGUCUGAAUUACUGGGCGUAAAGCGAGCGUAGGCGGUAGGUCAAGUCAAGGGGGAAAUCCCCGCGCUCAACGCGGGAACUGCCGUUGAAACUGGCAGGCUGGAGUGUGUGAGAGGAUAGUGGAAUUCCAGGUGUAGGGGUGAAAUGCGUAGAUAUUUGGAGGAACAUCAGUGGCGAAGGCGACUAUCUGGCACAUAACUGACGCUGAGGAGCGAAAGCGUGGGUAGCAAACAGGAUUAGAUACCCCAGUAGUC